RNAcentral lists this long non-coding RNA (1785 nucleotides) under Nicotiana benthamiana. RNAcentral describes it as "long non-coding RNA (NBEN_LNC029543)". Lineage: Eukaryota; Viridiplantae; Streptophyta; Magnoliopsida; Solanales; Solanaceae. The record is from RNAcentral.
GUCCAGAACUCUUAAAUUAAAAAUAUUAGCUUCAUCACAGUGCAUAGGUCAUAUACAAUAUGAGUAUAUGUAUGUAGAAAUAUAUAAAAGGACAAGACAACAAUAUUGAACAAACUCUAGACGAACUAUUUAAUGCAUGACUUACUAGCUACUCUGCUAGUACUUCAUCAGAUAGAAUUGUCAUUCUUGAAACCAAAACUUUUCACAAUAGUUUAGGAAAUAUGAAAAGUACAACACCAUUAUUCAGUUGGUCCUUAUUUAAGCUACAUGAAUUUUUGUAAAGGGCAGAGAGUACAGAAUAUUAAAGGUUCAUAUUGCAUUGGCCUACCUAUCUUACUGGAGUCUCAAAUAUGAUAAAAGCCAGUAAAGUACUUUGGAGACAAAAAAUUUCUUAGUACCUUUUUCUAUGUUUAUUGUCUUUAUUUUUCAGUCAACUAUACUAGCCCAACAUCAUUGCCCAGACGAAUUACUUAGUUCAAUAGAUAUGAUAAAUGGUUGUAUGCAUAAUUUAGAACAAUAAAAACUUUUAACCAGUACUAAUCACCUACAAAAGAAGGGCUUAAGAAAUUAACAAUAUUCACCAAUGUUGUGAUACAAUUUGUACUGGAGUUCUAAUUGGCUGAAAUUUGGUGGCAAGGCUCGUUUUGCUCAACCAUCAUAGGCUCUAGAUGAUCUCUUCCACCGCGUUAAGGUACACUCUAUCGCUAAGUUAUAUCCACCAAAACUUAUAAACAAUAUUUUUCAAAUUUAGAAUUACGACUGAACUUUACUAAAUUUCUGGUGAUCCACUAGGUAUAGUGGCUAGACAAGUCUUUGCCUAUCCAUUAGAAACUUACAAUGAUCUGGCAGGACUUGUAAAUAAUUUAUUUGUUCCUAAGUUACGAUGCAAUUUAUAUUAAAAUCCUGGUGAUCUGCUAGAACUUGCUCAUCCGUCCAACCUUCUAGAGAUCCGCUUGGACUUGUGGCCAGGUUCCGACCUCUGCAAGAUACAUUUGCUAAACUUAUUCAAACGGGACCAAAACUGAAACAACAAUAUGUGACAUUAACAUAUAUAGCCUAUUUGUGCAAAUCACCCAUUUUAUAAUGGGGGCGGUGAGAUUCAAACCUAUGAUCACGGGCGCAGCAAGCCUAUUAGGUGUGGGUUCGACUUAAUCAAUUAUUUUUGUUUAGACACUGUAUUUCUAUUAAGAAAUUCAUUAAAUAUGUAUAAAUAUUUUAAUUGUGAACUCAGUAACAAAGACGAGCUAUAGGUUCCACGGCAAAUUCAGAACUCAUAGACUUCAAAUUCUGAUUCCGCCUUUACUGACGACCUUCUGACUAAUUUAAUCUCUUAUUGAAUUGUGUGAUCAUCUUGUCUAAAAGUUUAAUCUCUCAGAUAAAAUACACUUUUACUUACUUAUCAAUUAUAACAUGUCUCAACAUCUUACUCUCAUUUUCCUCCCUAAAAGAAAAGACAAUACUCAUAAAUAGAUGCUAUUUUUUGGGUCUGGAUUUAUAACCACCAUGAAUAAUAAGUAUAGACAACGAUUUUAUGAUAAAAAAGAAAGGAAGUAUAGACGACGAUUACAAAUAAUUAUAUUCUAACCAGAAUAUGAAGAAUCAAUUUUCUUUAAUCAAACAGAACUGGUGCUUUGUUCUCCCCACACUACUAGAAAUUACAGCUAUGACAACCCUGUUGGAAAAGGAUUGCUAUUAAUAUUUGGAGGGAGGCUUUUAGGCUAAGGGAAUUUGGAAGAGUAGAAAGAUUUUGGAGAAGAGAAACUUUUAUUUCUCAAACUAGUUUUU